This 253-nucleotide ribosomal RNA is filed under the name uncultured bacterium. Its description in RNAcentral is "partial 16S ribosomal RNA". It matches the Rfam family "Bacterial small subunit ribosomal RNA", at positions 524 to 776 of the family's 1533-position model. The record is from RNAcentral.
UACGGAGGGUGCGAGCGUUAAUCGGAAUUACUGGGCGUAAAGGGUGCGUAGGUUGUUUAUUAAGUUAGCUGUGAAAUUCCUGGGCUUAACCUGGGCAGGUCAGCUAAGACUGAUGGACUCGAGUAUGGGAGAGGGUAGUGGAAUUUCCGGUGUAGCGGUGAAAUGCGUAGAGAUCGGAAGGAACACCAGUGGCGAAGGCGGCUACCUGGCCUGAUACUGACACUGAGGCACGAAAGCGUGGGGAGCAAACAGG